GACGAACGCUGGCGGCGCGCCUAACACAUGCAAGUCGAGCGAGAACCGGGCCUUCGGGCCCGGGGACAGCGGCGAACGGGUGAGUAACGCGUGGGCAACCUGCCCUCGGCACUGGGAUAGCCCGGGGAAACCCGGAUUAAUACCGGAUAGCCUCCGGAGCCUUCGGGCGCCGGAAGAAAGGUGGCUUCGGCAUCCGGCCGAGGAGGGGCCCGCGGCGGAUUAGCUUGUUGGUGGGGUAAUGGCCCACCAAGGCGACGAUCCGUAGCUGGUCGGAGAGGACGAGCAGCCACACUGGGACUGAGACACGGCCCAGACUCCUACGGGAGGCAGCAGUGGGGAAGCUUGCGCAAUGGGCGAAAGCCUGACGCAGCGACGCCGCGUGCGGGAAGAAGGCCUUCGGGUUGUAAACCGCUUUCAGGAGGGACGAAGCCACUCGGGUGAACAGCCCAGAGGGUGACGGUACCUCCAGAAGAAGCCCCGGCUAACUACGUGCCAGCCGCCGCAGUAA
Molecule: ribosomal RNA, 508 nt
Filed under: uncultured bacterium
Lineage: Bacteria
Description: partial 16S ribosomal RNA
Rfam family: Bacterial small subunit ribosomal RNA
Source: RNAcentral